CCGUCCUACGGGACGCAGCAGUGGGGAAUAUUGCACAAUGGGGGGAACCCUGAUGCAGCAAUGCCGCGUGGGUGAAGAAGCACUCCGGUGCGUAAAGCCCUGUCAGCAGGGAAGAAAAUGACAGUACCUGGACAAGAAGCCCCGGCUAACUACGUGCCAGCAGCCGCGGUAAUACGUAGGGGGCAAGCGUUAUCCGGAUUUACUGGGUGUAAAGGGAGCGAAGACGGCUGUGCAAGUCUGGAGUGAAAGGCAUGGGCUCAACCUGUGGACUGCUUUGGAAACUGUGCGGCUUGAGUGUCGGAGCG
Molecule: ribosomal RNA, 305 nt
Filed under: uncultured bacterium
Lineage: Bacteria
Description: bacterial SSU rRNA
Rfam family: Bacterial small subunit ribosomal RNA
Source: RNAcentral